GACGAACGCUGGCGGCGUGCUUAACACAUGCAAGUCGAACGGAAAGGCCCUGCUUUUGUGGGGUGCUCGAGUGGCGAACGGGUGAGUAACCCGUGAGUAACCUGCCCUUGACUUUGGGAUAACUUCAGGCAACUGGGGCUAAUACCGGAUAGGAUCUCCUGCUGCAGGGUGGGGGUGGGAUAGUUUCGGUGGUUGGGGAUGGACUCGCGGCGUAUCAGCUUGUUGGUUGGGUAGUGGCUUACCAUGGCAUGGACCGGUAGCCGGCCUGCGAGGGGCAGCGGACCAACUGGGACUGAGCUAAGGCCCAGACCCCUACGGGAGGCAACGGGGGGGAAUAGUGCACAAUGGGCGGGAGCAUGAUGCGACCACGCCGCGUGGGGGAAGACAGCAAUGGGGUUGGGAAGCGAUUUCGCCUGUGACGAAGCGAGAGUGACGGUAAUGGGAAAAGAAGCACCGGCUAACUACGUG
RNAcentral lists this ribosomal RNA (468 nucleotides) under uncultured bacterium. Its description in RNAcentral is "partial 16S ribosomal RNA". It matches the Rfam family "Bacterial small subunit ribosomal RNA", at positions 28 to 507 of the family's 1533-position model. The record is from RNAcentral.